RNAcentral lists this ribosomal RNA (496 nucleotides) under uncultured bacterium. RNAcentral describes it as "partial 16S ribosomal RNA". It matches the Rfam family "Bacterial small subunit ribosomal RNA", at positions 29 to 507 of the family's 1533-position model. The record is from RNAcentral.
AUGCACGCUGGCGGCGUGCCUCAUCCAUGCCAGUCGAGCGAACAGACGAGGAGCUUGCUCCUCUGACGUUAGCGGCGGACGGGUGAGUAACACGUGGAUAACCUACCUAUAAGACUGGGAUAACUUCGGGAAACCGGAGCUAAUACCGGAUAAUAUAUUGAACCGCAUGGUUCAAUAGUGAAAGACGGUUUUGCUGUCACUUAUAGAUGGAUCCGCGCCGCAUUAGCUAGUUGGUAAGGUAACGGCUUACCAAGGCAACGAUGCGUAGCCGACCUGAGAGGGUGAUCGGCCACACUGGAACUGAGACACGGUCCAGACUCCUACGGGAGGCAGCAGUAGGGAAUCUUCCGCAAUGGGCGAAAGCUUGACGGAGCAACGCCGCGUGAGUGAUGAAGGUCUUCGGAUCGUAAAACUCUGUUAUUAGGGAAGAACAAAUGUGUAAGUAACUAUGCACGUCUUGACGGUACCUAAUCAGAAAGCCACGGCUAACUACGUG